RNAcentral lists this ribosomal RNA (465 nucleotides) under uncultured bacterium. RNAcentral's name for it is "bacterial SSU rRNA". It matches the Rfam family "Bacterial small subunit ribosomal RNA", at positions 338 to 795 of the family's 1533-position model. The record is from RNAcentral.
CCUACGGGGGGCAGCAGUGGGGAAUAUUGCACAAUGGGCGCAAGCCUGAUGCAGCCAUGCCGCGUGUAUGAAGAAGGCCUUCGGGUUGUAAAGUACUUUCAGCGGGGAGGAAGGUGUUGUGGUUAAUAACCGCAGCAAUUGACGUUACCUGCAGAAGAAGCACCGGCUAACUCCGUGCCAGCAGCCGCGGUAAUACGGAGGGUGCAAGCGUUAAUCGGAAUUACUGGGCGUAAAGCGCACGCAGGCGGUCUGUCAAGUCGGAUGUGAAAUCCCCGGGCUCAACCUGGGAACUGCAUUCGAAACUGGCAGGCUAGAGUCUUGUAGAGGGGGGUAGAAUUCCAGGUGUAGCGGUGAAAUGCGUAGAGAUCUGGGGGAAUACCGGUGGCGAAGGCGGCCCCCUGGACAAAGACUGACGCUCAGGUGCGAAAGCGUGGGGAGCAAACAGGAUUAGAUACCCCCGUAGUC